AUGACACUUGUUAGCUUGCUGUGUGCAGUCCUGGUCUCCAUGUGUCUGGGACCCAGUGUGGCCCAGACGGUCACUCAGCCUCAACCAGAAGAGUCUGUACAGGAGGGAGGCACAGUGACCCUGGACUGCACAUAUAGCACCAGUGACAGUGAUUAUUAUUUGUUCUGGUACAAACAGCCUCCCAGUGGGGAGAUGGUUUUCAUUAUUCGCCAAUAUGCUUAUGAACGACAGAAUGCAACCAACGAUCGCUACUCUGUGAACUUCCAGAAAGAAGCCAAAGCCUUCAGUCUCAGGAUCUCAGACUCCCAGCUGGAGGAUGCUGCAAUGUAUUUCUGUGCUUACAGUGGACCCAGUGUGGCCCAGACGGUCACUCAGCCUCAGCCAGAAGAGUCUGUACAGGAGACGGGCACAGUGACCCUGGACUGCACAUAUAGCACCAGUGACAGUGAUUAUUAUUUGUUCUGGUACAAACAGCCUCCCAGUGGGGAGAUGGUUUUCAUUAUUCACCAAUAUGCUUAUGAACGACAGAAUGCAACCAACGAUCACUACUCUGUGAACUUCCAGAAAGAAGCCAAAGCCUUCAGUCUCAGGAUCUCAGACUCCCAGCUGGAGGAUGCUGCAAU
Odocoileus virginianus texanus is the source of this 623-nucleotide non-coding RNA. Lineage: Eukaryota; Metazoa; Chordata; Mammalia; Artiodactyla; Cervidae. The record is from the annotation of a RefSeq genome assembly.